Molecule: long non-coding RNA, 1205 nt
Organism: Ictalurus punctatus (channel catfish)
Lineage: Eukaryota; Metazoa; Chordata; Actinopteri; Siluriformes; Ictaluridae
Source: Ensembl
CUCAGAGUAGGACCACACCCUGACUCUGACUCAUUCAUAUACACACACACUUCUCAGGAAUCUGACGAACUUACAGCAAUACAGCCAUUUUCACAACCUUGCCCGCAGCGAAGUGUUGUCAGUGUUAAGUUGAUGAUGGACAGAGAAUGUUUCUAUGCUGUUUGUACAUUAUGUUUUAUGUAAUUGUACGGGCUGUUCAACAAAAUCCCUUCGUACAUAGCUCAACUAUAUAUCUAUGUAACAAUAUAUUUAGCACGCUAUUGGAAUGUGGGGGAGGUGGGGAAUUGCGCUGUUUAAAAAAUGCACAGAUAAAAAUACCGGAUAAAAAAAAUAUUAGCACUGAUUUGGGUCAGUGUGAAACUGUGCAGAGUACCUCAUGUUCUCCCCGGGUUUUCUCUAUAUCUUCCGGUUUCCAUCCACUUCCUAAAAACAUUCUAGUAGCUGUCAGAACUGGCUACAUUUAAUUGCCCCUAUACUGUAUAUGAAUGUGUGUGUGUGUGUGUGUGUGUGUGUGUGUGUGUGUGUGUGUUUAUGGUACCCAGCGAUGCACUAUUCCAGCCUCAUACCCAGCACUCCUGGGAUAGGCUCCGGAUUCACCGCUAGCCUGAUCAGGAUGAAGCUCUUACGGAAGAUGAAUGAAUUAAUAUUAUGAAAGAAUAUUAUUAUAUACAGAGUUGUCACUAUGUUUAAACCUUUUACUGAAUGGUGUUGCCAUAUGGCAACAAUUAAUUUAUUUAACAAUGAAUUUAUGAUAGGCAAUGAUACAUAAUUGUACUUUGAAAUUGUGCUCAUUUCAGACAUUUUACAACUGCACCAUAGUUUCAGGGGAAAGAGUGAAGAAUUCAAGAGAAAGAGUUCAUAAUAUACUUCACCCAAAUCAUGUGUGGCUCGAAUGUUUGUAUGUUUUUUGAUGUGUGUAUGUGAGAAACUGUCAGAAAGUGAAGAAAGUGUCAACAGUAAGUGCUGAAAAAAAAAAGGUGUGGUGUUUUACAGGAACAAAUAUGAAAAGUAGUUUACCAAGCCAUGCUGUUAUGUGGCUUUCAGAUUUACAUAUUGUGAACAUGACAUGUGAUGUCGGUGCUAAUACAGUAUAAUUCCAGUCAAGUGUACAGCUAAAUCAGAAUAAUGCUAUAUACAAACACUGAACUUACUUCAACCAGACAUUUUAUAGCAGAGGUUCUAACUAAAACCCCUCUAAGCCUCCC